UACAGAGGUCUCAAGCGUUGUUCGGAUUCAUUGGGCGUAAAGCGUCCGUAGGUGGCUAAUCAAGUCUGCUGUCAAAGCGUGGAGCUUAACUCCAUAACGGCAGUGGAAACUGAUGAGCUAGAGUGCGAUAGGGGUAGCAGGAAUUCCCAGUGUAGCGGUGAAAUGCGUAGAGAUUGGGAAGAACACCAGCGGCGAAAGCGUGCUACUGGGUCUGCACUGACACUGAGGGACGAAAGCUAGGGGAGCGAAAGGG
This 253-nucleotide ribosomal RNA is filed under the name uncultured bacterium. Its description in RNAcentral is "partial 16S ribosomal RNA". It matches the Rfam family "Bacterial small subunit ribosomal RNA", at positions 524 to 776 of the family's 1533-position model. The record is from RNAcentral.